Molecule: ribosomal RNA, 255 nt
Filed under: uncultured bacterium
Lineage: Bacteria
Description: partial 16S ribosomal RNA
Rfam family: Bacterial small subunit ribosomal RNA
Source: RNAcentral
UACGUAGGGUGCAAGCGUUGUCCGGAAUUAUUGGGCGUAAAGAGCUCGUAGGCGGUUUGUCGCGUCUGCUGUGAAAACCCGAGGCUCAACCUCGGGCCUGCAGUGGGUACGGGCAGACUAGAGUGCGGUAGGGGAGAUUGGAAUUCCUGGUGUAGCGGUGAAAUGCGCAGAUAUCGGGAGGAACACCAAUGGCGAAGGCAGCUCGCUGGGACGGUACUGACGCUGAGGCGACGGAAAGCGUGGGGAGCAAACAGG